This 1365-nucleotide ribosomal RNA is filed under the name Klebsiella sp. DL2.1. RNAcentral describes it as "bacterial SSU rRNA". It matches the Rfam family "Bacterial small subunit ribosomal RNA", at positions 123 to 1484 of the family's 1533-position model. Lineage: Bacteria; Pseudomonadati; Pseudomonadota; Gammaproteobacteria; Enterobacterales; Enterobacteriaceae. The record is from RNAcentral.
AAACUGCCUGAUGGAGGGGGAUAACUACUGGAAACGGUAGCUAAUACCGCAUAAUGUCGCAAGACCAAAGUGGGGGACCUUCGGGCCUCAUGCCAUCAGAUGUGCCCAGAUGGGAUUAGCUAGUAGGUGGGGUAACGGCUCACCUAGGCGACGAUCCCUAGCUGGUCUGAGAGGAUGACCAGCCACACUGGAACUGAGACACGGUCCAGACUCCUACGGGAGGCAGCAGUGGGGAAUAUUGCACAAUGGGCGCAAGCCUGAUGCAGCCAUGCCGCGUGUGUGAAGAAGGCCUUCGGGUUGUAAAGCACUUUCAGCGGGGAGGAAGGCGAUAAGGUUAAUAACCUUGUCGAUUGACGUUACCCGCAGAAGAAGCACCGGCUAACUCCGUGCCAGCAGCCGCGGUAAUACGGAGGGUGCAAGCGUUAAUCGGAAUUACUGGGCGUAAAGCGCACGCAGGCGGUCUGUCAAGUCGGAUGUGAAAUCCCCGGGCUCAACCUGGGAACUGCAUUCGAAACUGGCAGGCUAGAGUCUUGUAGAGGGGGGUAGAAUUCCAGGUGUAGCGGUGAAAUGCGUAGAGAUCUGGAGGAAUACCGGUGGCGAAGGCGGCCCCCUGGACAAAGACUGACGCUCAGGUGCGAAAGCGUGGGGAGCAAACAGGAUUAGAUACCCUGGUAGUCCACGCCGUAAACGAUGUCGAUUUGGAGGUUGUGCCCUUGAGGCGUGGCUUCCGGAGCUAACGCGUUAAAUCGACCGCCUGGGGAGUACGGCCGCAAGGUUAAAACUCAAAUGAAUUGACGGGGGCCCGCACAAGCGGUGGAGCAUGUGGUUUAAUUCGAUGCAACGCGAAGAACCUUACCUGGUCUUGACAUCCACAGAACUUACCAGAGAUGGCUUGGUGCCUUCGGGAACUGUGAGACAGGUGCUGCAUGGCUGUCGUCAGCUCGUGUUGUGAAAUGUUGGGUUAAGUCCCGCAACGAGCGCAACCCUUAUCCUUUGUUGCCAGCGGUUAGGCCGGGAACUCAAAGGAGACUGCCAGUGAUAAACUGGAGGAAGGUGGGGAUGACGUCAAGUCAUCAUGGCCCUUACGACCAGGGCUACACACGUGCUACAAUGGCAUAUACAAAGAGAAGCGACCUCGCGAGAGCAAGCGGACCUCAUAAAGUAUGUCGUAGUCCGGAUUGGAGUCUGCAACUCGACUCCAUGAAGUCGGAAUCGCUAGUAAUCGUAGAUCAGAAUGCUACGGUGAAUACGUUCCCGGGCCUUGUACACACCGCCCGUCACACCAUGGGAGUGGGUUGCAAAAGAAGUAGGUAGCUUAACCUUCGGGAGGGCGCUUACCACUUUGUGAUUCAUGACUGGGGUGAA